UGACCUCGGAUCAGGUAGGGAUACCCGCUGAACUUAAGCAUAUCAAUAAGCGGAGGAAA
This 59-nucleotide ribosomal RNA is filed under the name Penicillium sp. PSPP1. Its description in RNAcentral is "partial 28S ribosomal RNA". It matches the Rfam family "Eukaryotic large subunit ribosomal RNA", at positions 1 to 59 of the family's 3401-position model. The record is from RNAcentral. Lineage: Eukaryota; Fungi; Ascomycota; Eurotiomycetes; Eurotiales; Aspergillaceae.